This 62-nucleotide transfer RNA is filed under the name Anomaloglossus kaiei (Kaie rock frog). RNAcentral's name for it is "tRNA-Cys". The record is from RNAcentral. Lineage: Eukaryota; Metazoa; Chordata; Amphibia; Anura; Aromobatidae.
AGCCCCGGAGUGUUACACGCAGGAUUGCAACCCCUGAAAUGCAAAGAAAUUUGCCAGGGCUU